CGUCAAGUCAUCAUGGCCCUUAUAUCCUGGGCUACACACGUGCUACAAUGGCAGGUACAGAGUGAAGCAAAGCAGUGAUGCGGAGCAAACCGCAGAAAACCUGUCUCAGUACAGAUUGGAGUCUGAAACCCGACUCCAUGAAGGUGGAAUCGCUAGUAAUCGCGCAUCAGCAUGGCGCGGUGAAUACGUUCCCGGGCCUU
Molecule: ribosomal RNA, 200 nt
Filed under: uncultured prokaryote
Description: partial 16S ribosomal RNA
Rfam family: Bacterial small subunit ribosomal RNA
Source: RNAcentral